This 21-nucleotide microRNA is filed under the name Homo sapiens (human). RNAcentral's name for it is "hsa-miR-4646-3p". Lineage: Eukaryota; Metazoa; Chordata; Mammalia; Primates; Hominidae. The record is from miRBase by way of RNAcentral.
AUUGUCCCUCUCCCUUCCCAG